UAACGCGUAUGCAACUUGCCUAUCAGAGGGGGAUAACCCGGCGAAAGUCGGACUAAUACCGCAUGAAGCAGGGAUCCCGCAUGGGAAUAUUUGCUAAAGAUUCAUCGCUGAUAGAUAGGCAUGCGUUCCAUUAGGCAGUUGGCGGGGUAACGGCCCACCAAACCGACGAUGGAUAGGGGUUCUGAGAGGAAGGUCCCCCACAUUGGUACUGAGACACGGACCAAACUCCUACGGGAGGCAGCAGUGAGGAAUAUUGGGCAAUGGCCGAGAGGCUGAACCAGCCAAGUCGCGUGAGGGAUGAAGGUUCUAUGGAUCGUAAACCUCUUUUAUAAGGGAAUAAAGUGCGGGACGUGUCCCGUUUUGUAUGUACCUUAUGAAUAAGGAUCGGCUAACUCCGUGCCAGCAGCCGCGGUAAUACGGAGGAUCCGAGCGUUAUCCGGAUUUAUUGGGUUUAAAGGGUGCGUAGGCGGCCUUUUAAGUCAGCGGUGAAAGUCUGUGGCUCAACCAUAGAAUUGCCGUUGAAACUGGGGGGCUUGAGUAUGUUUGAGGCAGGCGGAAUGCGUGGUGUAGCGGUGAAAUGCAUAGAUAUCACGCAGAACCC
RNAcentral lists this ribosomal RNA (601 nucleotides) under uncultured bacterium. Its description in RNAcentral is "bacterial SSU rRNA". It matches the Rfam family "Bacterial small subunit ribosomal RNA", at positions 111 to 709 of the family's 1533-position model. The record is from RNAcentral.